RNAcentral lists this ribosomal RNA (530 nucleotides) under uncultured bacterium. RNAcentral describes it as "bacterial SSU rRNA". It matches the Rfam family "Bacterial small subunit ribosomal RNA", at positions 338 to 873 of the family's 1533-position model. The record is from RNAcentral.
CCUACGGGAGGCAGCAGUAGGGAAUAUUGGGCAAUGGACGCAAGUCUGACCCAGCCACGCCGCGUGCAGGAAGACGGCCCUUUGGGUUGUAAAUUGCUUUUGASUGGGAAGAAAAGACUCCUUGCGAGGAGAGUUGACGGUACCAGCAGAAUAAGCCACGGCUAACUACGUGCCAGCAGCCGCGGUAAUASGUAGGUGGCGAGCGUUAUCCGGAUUUAUUGGGUUUAAAGGGUGCGUAGGCGGUUGAUUAAGUCAGCGGUGAAAGGUAGCAGYUUAACUGUUUUACAUGCCGUUGAUACUGGUUAGCUUGAGUUAACAGAAGGCAGAUAGAAUUUCUGGUGUAGCGGUGAAAUGCUUAGAUACCAGGAGGAAUACCGAUKGCGAAGGCAGUCUGCUGCAGUUACACUGACGMUGAGGCAMGAAAGUGCGGGGAUCAAACAGGAUUAGAUACCCUGGUAGUCCGCACAGUAAACGAUGAUUASUAGUUGUUGGCGAGAGUCAGUGACCAAGGAAACCGAUAAGUAUCCACC